UAGCUAUAAAUAGCGAUCAAAGAUUUGAAACAUUCAGUUGCAUCAAGAAAAAAAACAAAGAGAACGCCUUGCAAAAUGGAAACGCUUAACAUAUUCUUCGUAUUGUGUUUGCUUUUCUUCAUCGCUUUCACUCAAGCUGCUCAAGGAGCCCCAGGGCAAGGAGGUUUAGGUUCUAAAAUCACUAAAGGCCUGCUAAACGUGGACGCAGUGAAUCUUUCUGAUUAAUUAGUCCCAUUAUAUGAUUUUAAUGUAGCACUAAAUAAAAUUAUUCUCAAUA
Molecule: long non-coding RNA, 277 nt
Filed under: Bombyx mandarina (wild silkworm)
Lineage: Eukaryota; Metazoa; Arthropoda; Insecta; Lepidoptera; Bombycidae
Description: uncharacterized LOC114241228
Source: RNAcentral